This 425-nucleotide ribosomal RNA is filed under the name uncultured cyanobacterium. Its description in RNAcentral is "bacterial SSU rRNA". It matches the Rfam family "Bacterial small subunit ribosomal RNA", at positions 356 to 795 of the family's 1533-position model. Lineage: Bacteria; Bacillati; Cyanobacteriota. The record is from RNAcentral.
GGGGAAUUUUCCGCAAUGGGCGAAAGCCUGACGGAGCAAGACCGCGUGGGGGAUGAAGGUUUGUGGAUUGUAAACCCCUUUUGAUUGGGAAGAAUACUGACGGUACCAAUCGAAUAAGCCUCGGCUAACUCCGUGCCAGCAGCCGCGGUAAUACGGAGGAGGCAAGCGUUAUCCGGAAUUAUUGGGCGUAAAGCGUCCGUAGGUGGUUUAGUAAGUCUGCUGUUAAAGCGCGGGGCUUAACUCCGUAUCGGCAGUGGAAACUACUAGACUAGAGUGUGGUAGGGGUAGAGGGAAUUCCCAGUGUAGCGGUGAAAUGCGUAGAUAUUGGGAAGAACACCGGUGGCGAAAGCGCNACUACUGGGCCAUAACUGACACUGAUGGACGAAAGCUACGGGGAGCGAAAGGGAUUAGAUACCCCUGUAGUC